GGGCAUCACAAUUAGAUUUAACACCACCUUCAUACUCAAUUAGAUGGCCGAAUGUAUGUAUAUAUGUACAAUGUCAACUAUAACAUCAUUUAAACACCUAAUUUCAUCUCAUGAACACUUGAUCGAAUUUUCCUAAUCUAGCAUAUUUUCACAUCUAUUUGUAACAUCAUGUAAAUCCACAUAUAACUACAUUUCUUAAGUUCCACAUCUUAAUGCCCAUUAUAGCCACUCCCAUAGUCUAAAUCUAACAAUCGGCAACACCUACCUUUCCACUAUGUUAGCCGAAUACUCAUUCUCUUCUUAGUCCUAAAUUCGGCACCUCCAACAAAAUAGCUUAACAAUUUCAACUUUCAUGCUAACAUAACAAGCAACUUAACACAUCCAUA
This 386-nucleotide long non-coding RNA is filed under the name Gossypium barbadense (sea-island cotton). Its description in RNAcentral is "long non-coding RNA (GBAR_LNC010326)". The record is from RNAcentral. Lineage: Eukaryota; Viridiplantae; Streptophyta; Magnoliopsida; Malvales; Malvaceae.